Molecule: non-coding RNA, 94 nt
Organism: Mycena rebaudengoi
Lineage: Eukaryota; Fungi; Basidiomycota; Agaricomycetes; Agaricales; Mycenaceae
Source: the annotation of a GenBank genome assembly
GACCUGGUGGUGUAAUGGUUAACACACCGGCAUGCUGUCUGUUUGAAUUAAUAAACCUAUGUGGGAGAUCCCUGUUUGAAUCAGGGCUGGGUCA